RNAcentral lists this long non-coding RNA (1496 nucleotides) under Bos grunniens (domestic yak). Its description in RNAcentral is "lncRNA (ENSBGRG00000026059.1)". The record is from RNAcentral. Lineage: Eukaryota; Metazoa; Chordata; Mammalia; Artiodactyla; Bovidae.
UUAGGGGAUGAUGCUACCCAAGCCUCCAGGUUCUCACUUAACACAGAGUGAUGGAAAUACCAUGCUAUACUACAGUGAGUGACAGAUGUGGAUGCAGGGGAGAGAAAAGCAGACCUGGAUUUAAUUAUGUAAAUCCAUGGCUAUGCUUUAAUAAGGCACUGCAAUAAAACUGUCAGAACUGCCAGGUUUGGGAAAUAGGUUGAGCAAGGUUUUCAUUCCCGGCACUAUAUUUAGGAAGAAAAAAAAGAAAGAAAAAUGCAGAAGAGCUAGUUCAUCUUUGAAAGCCUUCAGAAACAUAUCAGGGACUCUUGAGCUUCCUGCUCCUGCCAAGCAGCAUUUGCAGUGACAACUGGAGCUGAAACCCCAGCAGCCCACACAGAAUCCUUGGGAAAGGAGAAAGCUGAAGUUUCAAGGUGGAUGUUUUCCAAUGAGCUCUCCGAGACUGAGCUUUCUAUCAUCACCUGCCGACUAUCCCUCAAACUUGUCACCCCCUCUUUUAACUCACAACCCUGCUUCCGCUGCCUGUUCGUGGGAUGUGACAAAGGUGACAAGGUCUUGGUGGUGGGUUUUCUCUUCCACAUCAGGUAGUGGGGAUGUGGAUGCUGCCACCUUUAUCUGAACCAUCCAAACAGUUUUUUUUUUUUUUUGGUUUAUUUUAUUUCAGUAUUAAAAAAAUAUUCCCCAUCUUGUUAUUAUAGGACUAGAAUUCUCAUAGGUUUUAUUGGUUGUGAACAGCAGAGGCCCAUUCUGAGGAGCUAAGUCCAAAGAGCCCAUUGAAAAGGAGUUUCCAGAGCUGGUGUCUUGUACUUCAUAGAUGUCCUGUGCUCUUGCCUGUUCUUUCAAGUCGUUAUCUGGAAAAUUUCCUGAAAUUGCCAAGAAUCUGCCACUUUCAAUAAUAUCAACUCUGAAAGAGAGAGAGAGGCUAGGAGAGACCGUGGGGGACAGAAGUGUUGAUUGCUGCCCAUGGCCAUGCUGGUUUCUUUUCUUCCCCUGUGUAAAGACUGCUGGCUUGGUAUCUCUGGACUCUAGCAGCGCUGGAGAAGAAAUUGGGAUUGUAAAAGAAAUCUUCGUUUUCUGUAAAAAUGUCCUCAAGGAAGUUCAACUCAAUUGCCUUCCUCUGAAAAAGACGCUAAACUACGUGAUUGUUCGAUGCUCCUGGAAAGAAAUAUCUGUUUCAUUUGAAGUUUCCAUUUUACCCUUGAAACCUAGGUUUGAUGGUGUGAGAAAUGCUUGCCUUCCUUUCUUUCUCCUGGUUGAGUUACAGAGAAUCAUUAGGUGCUUAUUAGACUAAUGUGAAGGCAGAUAACACCGGUUAUGGAGCCCAUGACUCAUUUUUAAAUUUUACCAGUUCUCUUUCACUUACUGCCUAAAUUGCAGGCUUUCUUGUGACAGGUAGCUCUGAAAUAGUAGAUAUCAAAAUUUAUGACUUAAAAAAGUUAAGGUGCUUAUCUUUAGAAAAUUCCUGGUAUGAGCCAAUUACCAACCUCUUUACUUUC